CCUACGUGCGGCAGCAGUGGGGAAUAUUGGACAAUGGGCGAAAGCCUGAUCCAGCCAUGCCGCGUGUGUGAAGAAGGCCUUCGGGUUGUAAAGCACUUUCAGUGGGGAAGAAAGCCUUGGGGCUAAUACCCUCGAGGAAGGACAUCACCCACAGAAGAAGCACCGGCUAACUCCGUGCCAGCAGCCGCGGUAAUACGGAGGGUGCGAGCGUUAAUCGGAAUUACUGGGCGUAAAGCGCGCGUAGGCGGUCUGAUAAGCCGGUUGUGAAAGCCCCGGGCUCAACCUGGGAACGGCAUCCGGAACUGUCAGGCUAGAGUGCAGGAGAGGAAGGUAGAAUUCCCGGUGUAGCGGUGAAAUGCGUAGAGAUCGGGAGGAAUAACAGUGGCGAAGGCGGCCUUCUGGACUGACACUGACGCUGAGGUGCGAAAGCGUGGGUAGCAAACAGGAUUAGAUACCCCAGUAGUC
Molecule: ribosomal RNA, 465 nt
Filed under: Vreelandella stevensii
Lineage: Bacteria; Pseudomonadati; Pseudomonadota; Gammaproteobacteria; Oceanospirillales; Halomonadaceae
Description: partial 16S ribosomal RNA
Rfam family: Bacterial small subunit ribosomal RNA
Source: RNAcentral